RNAcentral lists this long non-coding RNA (1703 nucleotides) under Anas platyrhynchos (mallard). RNAcentral's name for it is "lncRNA (ENSAPLG00020008917.1)". The record is from RNAcentral. Lineage: Eukaryota; Metazoa; Chordata; Aves; Anseriformes; Anatidae.
CGCCCAGGCGGGGCCGCGCAGCGCCGGGAGCGCGCACAGGCGGCAGCUCGCAGCCCGCCGGGGCAGCGCCGAGCGCCGGGCAAUGGAGCCCUCGCCCAAAGACGGCGAGAGCGCGGCGGCCGCGGAGCCCAGCCGGGGCGCCGGCUCCUCCAGCGGGGUGGUGGUGCAGGUCCGGGAGAAGAAGGGCCCCCUGCGCGCCGCCAUCCCCUACAUGCCGUUCCCCGUGGCUGUCAUCUGCCUCUUCCUCAACACCUUCGUGCCGGGGCUGGGGACACUUGUAUCAGCUUUCACGGUGCUGUGUGGAGCCCGGACCGACCUCCCUGACAGGCACAUGUGCUGUGUCUUCUGGCUGAACAUUGCCGCUGCACUGAUUCAGAUCCUGACAGCAAUCGUGAUGGUUGGCUGGAUUAUGAGUAUAUUUUGGGGGAUGGACAUGGUCAUUCUUGCAACGGAGCGGAGGUGCAGAGCGGCAGCAGGAGACUUGCACUGAGCGAGGAGCAGAGAUGGGGCAGAGGCAGCGUGCGGUGGGCCCAGCCCCAGCCCGUGUGCGGCGGGUGGUCGAGGAGGAGGAAAAGCAGGGUGCCGAGAGGAGGAAAGCCCCCAGUGAAGGUGGCACCCGGGCAGGCAGCAGAGCUGGGGGAGCGGGAGGUGUUGGUCUCUCUGUCCUCCCAGCAGCAAGCGGUCAAAGACAUUCUGCCUCCUGUUAGACGUUUUUUGCCUCCUGUUACAGUUAAAGAAAACCAGCUGUGAACAUCAAAUGCCAAGGAGCUAUCAAUAGACAGACGUACAGCCUGUAGAAGCAACAAGCGGUCCCUUUUUCCCUUCUGAGAGCCCCUUCUUGACUGCUUGGUGGCAGCAGAGGGCUCAGCCCAGCUUCCUCAGCUGUGUACCUUCGAUGCUCUAUCAUUGCAGAUGUCUUGAGAAAUGUGCUUGCUGUAAAUCGCGUUUUACUCUUAAACUGACUUGGGCUGUCCUCUACAUCGAUCCUCUGGCUCCAGGCAAGCACCAGACCUCCCUACUGGCCCCGGGAGGCUCCUACCAGCGGGAGACGGGGAUCCCCUGCACCCCUGUGUGCUGCUGGUGGGGCAGUGGGACAAGCCCCGUGCUGCCAAAAACCUCCAGUGUAAAGACUUCUCCCCUUCCCCUGGGAGGAACCUGCUGUCCUUGGUUUGGCCGUGGAUCCCUGUGCAGCGUGUCCUGCAGGAUCGGUCGAUGGAGCAUCUCCAGCUCUGCUCCCCAGGGUCGAUCAAGCAACCAAUGUACAACUCCAGAGGUGCUGAGGUCUGCCAGAUGGACACCAAGGCCAAAGGGUCCAAUUUCUGCCUGUGAGAGGGAUCAACUUUAAUAAACAGCCAGAUUUCCACUCCCUACUUCAGGACAGGAGCAGCUUUACAGAUUUGCCACUCUCCCAGCUACCUUAGAGGGAGCACUGGACUGAAUUUUCAACCAACUGCUGCAAAAGCAAUGAGGAACGCUGCUUUUUCCAGUAGCCCUUCCCUGGAGAGACAUUUCUGUGACACCACUGGAUGGACGGAGGAUGUUUUUUCCCUGCUCCUGAGAGACUAGACCUCUGUCCAGGGAUGGAUCGAGCAGAGCCCAGACCCCGACACUGCUCCCAAGGAGCCCACAGCAGGGGAAGCCAGCAGCCAGAAGCAGGGGGCCACAAUUUUCACUGGUGAGAAGACCAAUGCCAUGAAAGCCCA